RNAcentral lists this ribosomal RNA (408 nucleotides) under uncultured Diversispora. RNAcentral describes it as "partial 28S ribosomal RNA". Lineage: Eukaryota; Fungi; Glomeromycota; Glomeromycetes; Diversisporales; Diversisporaceae. The record is from RNAcentral.
GAGAGUUAAAUAGUACGUGAAAUUGUUGAAAGGGAAACGAUUGAAGUCAGUCAUGCUAGUGAAAAAUCAGUUUGGCGGGUUUUGAGUUCGGGAGUAGAGGCAGGGUCAAACCGUUUCUCUUUUGGACUUGGGAUUUGUCGGACGUACUUUUUCUUUGGCAGGUCAGCGUCGGUUUCGGAGGUUGUAAAAUACUUGGGGGAAAGUAGCUCUGCUUCGGGAGAGUGUUAUAGACCCUGGGGGAUGCAGCCUGUGGGAUCGAGGAUUGCAGCAAAUGCCUUUGGCUUGUCGCCUGAUCUCUGGAUGUUACCUCUCUUGUGACAACAUUCUUGCCACCGGGGAGUACUGAUGCCCAUUAGGUUAGAACGAUCAAAAAUUUGCUAAGGAUGCUGACGUAAUGGCUUUAAACGA